RNAcentral lists this ribosomal RNA (253 nucleotides) under uncultured bacterium. Its description in RNAcentral is "partial 16S ribosomal RNA". It matches the Rfam family "Bacterial small subunit ribosomal RNA", at positions 524 to 776 of the family's 1533-position model. The record is from RNAcentral.
UACGUAGGGUGCAAGCGUUGUCCGGAAUCAUUGGGCGUAAAGCGCGCGUAGGCGGCCCGAUAAGUCCGCUGUAAAAGUCAACGGCUCAACUGUUGGAAGCCGGUGGAUACUGUCGGGCUAGAGUACGGAAGAGGCAAGUGGAAUUCCUGGUGUAGCGGUGGAAUGCGCAGAUAUCAGGAGGAACACCUAUAGCGAAGGCAGCUUGCUGGGACGUUACUGACGCUAAGGCGCGAAAGCGUGGGGAGCGAACAGG